Molecule: long non-coding RNA, 1218 nt
Filed under: Macaca mulatta (Rhesus monkey)
Lineage: Eukaryota; Metazoa; Chordata; Mammalia; Primates; Cercopithecidae
Description: lncRNA (ENSMMUG00000053677.1)
Source: RNAcentral
GACCCAGCAGGGGAGGAUGGUCACCAGUGAAAGAAAGACAGAGAACAAAAACUAUAGACAUUCACCACUUCAACCAAGAGGAGGAAAACUGCACUGGAUCCACUCAGAAAUGAACUUUCUCUCCACGGACUCCAGCCCCACUCAUUUUCUUCGUCUCUGGAAUGAGCCAGCUCUUCCUGGCUCCAAGGCUUGUCUCAGCUACAGAGGAGUAAGAGGAAGGCUGAGGAUCAGAGGACCCCCACUUCUAAAGACGUUGGGAUGCCAGUGACAACAGGACCCUUCAAGAACCUGGAGCCUAGGCCAGAGCACUGUCAGCUAUAGGAUGCUUUGCAAAGAAGAAAUUGUCAUCCUGAAGGCCCAGGACAAAAUCACCCAAUAAAGCGCUGAAGCAGGAUGUCUGCCGGUAGGCAUCUCGUUCCCCUUUUUCUUCUCUUUAUCUUCCUUUUGUAAUUUUCCCUCUUCUCCAUUUAAGUGCCCAGCUUGCUUCUUCCCUCCCUGCCUCCCUUCCCAAGCACUGUGUGAGUACAGGGCUAGGCACUGUGGACACAGAGGGGCAGGUUAGUAGGGUCGUGGGCCUGCCAUCUGAGGAUGUUCUCCUCAUCUCACUACUGGGUUUGGGGGGUGAGGAUCAAGGAAGCUCCCCAGGAAGGCCAGUUUUGCCGAGUCUUGCCAGAGGAGUUGGCCUCAGAACAGAUGCAGGAGCAAGAGCAAAGGCAGGGGAGCAGGGCAGGUUCUGGAACUGCAUAGGACCCAGUGACUGGAAUGUGGCUGGUAAAGGUAACAGGUGGCUAAAGUGGUAAAGGUAACAGAUGGCUGCAGAAGGGGAGAGAUGGGCUGGAGCGCCCUAAAGGAAGCAAUGGGGGCUGGGCGUAAUGGCUCACGCCUCUAAUCCCAGCACUUUGGGAGGCCGAGGCAGGCAGACUUGACGUCAGGAGUUUAAGACCAGCCUGGCCAACACGGUGAAAAUACAAAAUUUAAAAUACAUUAAAAAUACAAAAAUUAGCCGAACAUGGUGGUGCACACCUGUAAUCCCAGCUCUCUGAGAGGCUAAGACAGGAGAAUCCCUUGAACCUGGGAGGAGGAGGUUCCAGUAAGCCAAGAUUGUGCUACUGCACUCCAGCCUGGGUGACAGAGUGAGACUUUGUCUCAAAAAUAAACAAUAAAAUAAAAAAAAGCAAUGGGAACUACUAGAGAGUUUAAGCAAGGGUGUAAUUCGAU